Molecule: long non-coding RNA, 1480 nt
Filed under: Felis catus (domestic cat)
Lineage: Eukaryota; Metazoa; Chordata; Mammalia; Carnivora; Felidae
Description: lncRNA (ENSFCAG00000053019.1)
Source: RNAcentral
GGAGCCUCGGCUGUUGGGGCGGAAGCUUCCGGAAGCGCCGAGGGGCUACAAGGCGGAGGAGCGACGCGGUCGCGGUGCGAGGGCUCUCCGGCUGCUGGUGCGAGUGCGCCUGUUUGCCCGGCCACCUGCACGGGCUGCCCGGCUGCCCCGGCGGGUCCACGACGUCUCCGCAGCCGCCUGCCACGGGCCGCGUGUCGCCGUGCACUUGGAAGAAGUCGGGAAGUUCACGGUAUCGCAGUCUCUCAGGUGGAUAGGAUUCCUUGCUCUCGUCUACACGGUAAUCCAGCCCGCUUCCAGUUUGUUGACGCCAGCAGGCUUAGCCAGUGGUCCUGUAGGGAAUCGGACGUCUGCCAGGUAGGGUGGGCUCUCUGCUUGGUGUGGGAGGAGGAGGGGAGAAGGCCAAGGAGGGUUUCACAGUAUGAGAAAUGCUUUAAAAAUUGUGCUUGGGGCACCCGGGCGGCUCAGUCGGUUGAACGUCCGACUUCGGCUCAGGUCAUGAUCUCGCGGUCUGUGAGUUCGAGCCCCGCGUCGGGCUCUGUGCAGACAGCUCAGAGCCCGGAGCCUGUUUCGGAUUCUGUGUCUCCCUCUCUCUCUGCCCCUUCCCCAUUCACGCUCAGUCUCCCCCUCUCUCUCAAAAAUACAUACACCUUAAAAAAAUUUUUUUUAAUUGUACUUGAAAGGGAUUGGUUAUAUUUCUAUGUGUCAGAUCCCGGUCCUUUGUGCUCAUUACCGCACUUAACACGUCUGAGAGCGGGUUAAAGGUGGAGCCACAUUCUGUGUCUGUUUAUUCCUGCUCUUUGCACUCUACUCCACACAAUCUGAACCUCAAGCAUUACUGGGCUCGCCCACACUCUGCUCUCAGAGGACUGGAGGGUAAACAGUGAGGACUGAAAAUCCUGACCUCCUGGUGGCCUUAAAUGCAGAGCAAGCAGGAAAACUACAUUGGGGAUGUCAGGGAGGGGGAGAUGGGAGGAACGAGGGAGGUCAGGGAGGGGGAGAUGGGAGGACCGUUUGUUGCGGGGCUGUUAGUGACUCCUGUUUGAAGUGAUCUGAGUCGUGGAGGGCAGCCAAAUCGCGUGGACUUACAUAGAAGCCUGCACGAGUGACUGGGGCCAGAGGCUGGGAGGUCCAGUGGGUCUCUGGAUUCAUUACACCAUAAGAUUUUAGAGCAGGAGAGGACCUUAAGAGAUCACAUAGUCCCACCCUCCAUUUUAUAGAUGAAUCAAUGCGACUUAAGGAAUUUAAAAGAUAUCCCCAAUGUCUUGCUGGUUGGUAAUUGACUUGAAAUGAAAAUUAUAGUCUCCUCACCGUGAGUCGAGUAAUUUUUGCCAUCAGACAAGGCUGCUGAUUUGUGUGGUUUUAUCCUUAGCUUCUUGAUGGGUUUUAACUGACACAUGUGUCCCAUCUAGCCUGACUACAAGCUGACCUCCCCAACUCCUUUUUAAAUAAAUUGUCAAGGAAAUCUGUUCCUGUAAACUGC